Molecule: non-coding RNA, 21 nt
Filed under: Mus musculus (house mouse)
Lineage: Eukaryota; Metazoa; Chordata; Mammalia; Rodentia; Muridae
Source: RNAcentral
GCAGUCUCUACAUGGUCCAUC